AGCGAACGCUGGCGGUAGGCUUAACACAUGCAAGUCGAACGGCAGCACAGUAAGAGCUUGCUCUUACGGGUGGCGAGUGGCGGACGGGUGAGGAAUAUAUCGGAAUCUACUUUUUCGUGGGGGAUAACGUAGGGAAACUUACGCUAAUACCGCAUACGACCCACGGGUGAAAGCAGGGGAUCUUCGGACCUUGCGCGAUUGAAUGAGCCGAUGUCGGAUUUGCUAGUUGGCGGGGUAAAGGCCAACCAAGGCGGCGAUCCGUAGCUGGUCUGAGAGGAUGGUCAGCCACAUGAGAACUGGAACACGGUCCAGGCGCCUGCGGGAGGCAGCAGUGUGGAAUGUGAGGCAGUGGGCGCAAGCCUGAUCCAGCCAUACCGCGUGGGAGAAAGAGGCCUUCGGUUUGUAAAGCCCGUUUGUGGGGAAAAAAAAGCAGCAGGUUAAGACCCCGCUGUUCUGACGGUACCCAAAAAAUAAGCACCGGCUAACUUCGUG
Molecule: ribosomal RNA, 492 nt
Filed under: uncultured bacterium
Lineage: Bacteria
Description: partial 16S ribosomal RNA
Rfam family: Bacterial small subunit ribosomal RNA
Source: RNAcentral